This 440-nucleotide ribosomal RNA is filed under the name uncultured bacterium. Its description in RNAcentral is "partial 16S ribosomal RNA". It matches the Rfam family "Bacterial small subunit ribosomal RNA", at positions 338 to 795 of the family's 1533-position model. The record is from RNAcentral.
CCUACGGGUGGCAGCAGUGGGGAAUAUUGCACAAUGGGGGAAACCCUGAUGCAGCGACGCCGCGUGAGUGAAGAAGUAUUUCGGUACGUAAAGCUCUAUCAGCAGGGAAGAAAAUGACGGUACCUGACUAAGAAGCCCCGGCUAACUACGUGCCAGCAGCCGCGGUAAUACGUAAGGGGCAAGCGUUAUCCGGAUUUACUGGGUGUAAAGGGAGCGUAGACGGCAGCGCAAGUCUGGAGUGAAAUCCCAUGGCUUAACCAUGGAACUGCUUUGGAAACUGUGCAGCUAGAGUGCAGGAGAGGUAAGCGGAAUUCCUAGUGUAGCGGUGAAAUGCGUAGAUAUUAGGAGGAACACCAGUGGCGAAGGCGGCUUACUGGACUGUAACUGACGUUGAGGCUCGAAAGCGUGGGGAGCAAACAGGAUUAGAUACCCCAGUAGUC